GUUAGCGGCGGGCCUACACAUGCAAGUCGAACGCGAAAGCCCUUCGGGGCAAGUAGAGUGGCGCACGGGUGAGUAACACGUAGGUAAUCUACCCUCAGGCGGGGGACAACUUUCCGAAAGGAAAGCUAAUACCGCAUAAGACCACGCCCUCCUCGGAGGAAGUGGGAAAAGAUGGCCUCUUCUUGAAAGCUAUCACCAGAGGAUGAGCCUGCGUCCCAUCAGCUAGUUGGUAAGGUAAUGGCUUACCAAGGCUUAGACGGGUAGCUGGUCUGAGAGGAUGAUCAGCCACACUGGCACUGGAACACGGGCCAGACUCCUACGGGAGGCAGCAGUAGGGAAUAUUGGGCAAUGGACGCAAGUCUGACCCAGCCAUGCCGCGUGCAGGAAGACGGCCCUCUGGGUUGUAAACUGCUUUUAUCAGGGAAGAAACCCUUCUACGUGUAGAAGGCUGACGGUACCUGAGGAAUAAGGAUCGGCUAACUCCGUGCCAGCAGCCGCGGUAAUACGGAGGAUCCAAGCGUUGUCCGGAUUUAUUGGGUUUAAAGGGUGCGUAGGCGGACUUAUAAGUCAGAGGUGAAAGCCGGUAGCUUAACUAUCGAAUUGCCUUUGAAACUGUAAGUCUUGAAUUUUGUUGAGGUAGGCGGAAUGUAUCAUGUAGCGGUGAAAUGCAUAGAUAUGAUACA
RNAcentral lists this ribosomal RNA (683 nucleotides) under uncultured Bacteroidota bacterium. RNAcentral's name for it is "bacterial SSU rRNA". It matches the Rfam family "Bacterial small subunit ribosomal RNA", at positions 35 to 703 of the family's 1533-position model. The record is from RNAcentral. Lineage: Bacteria; Pseudomonadati; Bacteroidota.